GACGAACGCUGGCGGCGUGCUUAACACAUGCAAGUCGAACGGAAAGGCCCUGCUUUUGUUUGGUUCUCGAGUGGCGAACGGGUGAGUAACACGUGAGUAACCUGCCCUUGACUUUGGGAUAACUUCAGGAAACUGGGGCUAAUACCGGAUAUGAGCUCCUGCUGCAUGUUGGUGGUUGGAAAGUUUCGGCUGUUUGGGAUGUACUCGCAGCUUAUCAGCUUGUUUGUGGUGUAGUUGCUUACCAAGGCUUUGACGGGUAGCCUGCAUGAGAAGGGGACCGGGGACAAUGGGACUGAGAGACGCACCAGAAGCGUACGGGAGGCAGCAGUGGGAAGCCUGGCGGAAUGACGCGACGUGUGAUGUAGAAGCGUCGCGUGCGGGAAGCCGGCUUUCGGGGUGAAAACAGAUGUGGACUUUGAUGAACAGUGAGUGACGGUAACGGGUAAAGAAGCAACGGCUAACUACGUG
RNAcentral lists this ribosomal RNA (468 nucleotides) under uncultured bacterium. Its description in RNAcentral is "partial 16S ribosomal RNA". It matches the Rfam family "Bacterial small subunit ribosomal RNA", at positions 28 to 507 of the family's 1533-position model. The record is from RNAcentral.